AAGCUCCUAUCCUCAAAAGAGAAAGCAGUUAGCAGAGGGCUGAGCCAUGGCCAAGGUGUCAGGGACUCUGCAUCUGGGGGGAGGAGACAAGCAGANACAAAGAAGAUCUUUCCAGGAGGAAAUAUUUCUGAAAAGGCUCUUGUUUUAAAGGCUCUUAUUUCAAAUACUUUCAUUGUUUUAUCAUUGACCCCGUGAGCAGAGGAGCAAGCCCCGAGGGGUUUUUGCUUCUGGCACCAAGUGUCUGUUGCUGCACAUGGGCAGGUGGGCAUGACCCACUCCAGAGACAGUGCCAGGUGUUGAGUUUGAUUAGGGAGGUACACCUGUCAAAUCGUAAGGCAGGUGUCCUAAUGUAAACUCAGGAAAGAAAAAAACUUCCCAUGGCAAAAAAGCAAAAGCUUAAUCUUGAUUUUUCAGUACUAAUACAGACCAUGUAAAUGGAACCAGGAAUGUCCUGAGUGUUACAGCCUCCUAGCAGUGACA
This 480-nucleotide non-coding RNA is filed under the name Neotoma lepida (desert woodrat). RNAcentral describes it as "Eukaryotic large subunit ribosomal RNA". It matches the Rfam family "Eukaryotic large subunit ribosomal RNA", at positions 2467 to 2808 of the family's 3401-position model. The record is from Rfam by way of RNAcentral. Lineage: Eukaryota; Metazoa; Chordata; Mammalia; Rodentia; Cricetidae.